AGCCCACCGGUGCGGUGAGGGGGGCUGGCACCACCGUGGGAGUGGCCCUCACACACCCCCAGAGGCCAGAGUCCAGCUCCAAGACAGAGCAGGGUCUAGCCAACCAGGCGUGCCCAAUAAACAUUUACUGAAUAAGCACAAGAAUGAGCUGACGAAGUAACUGAUCCCGAGCUCCAGGGGAGUGUUGCCCUCAGCUCUGCCACCAUGAGGACCUGCUUUCUCUGAUGCCAGCGUCCUGUCAACUGCUGGGGAGUCAAGUCCAGGGUGCCCAGCCCUCCCCCCAAAAAAGGGCCAUCUCCCAUCCUCUGCAGGAAUGCCAGGGGAAGAGAAAUUAGACUAGCUCAUCGCCCACCAUUCCUGACCAGCCGCUGGCAGACACCGUUCCCAGGUGCAGCUUGAGGGCUUUAGGUGAGAAGGCUGGAAGAACUUCCAGAAGGAGUCAGGUCGCAGGCCUGGAGAGUGCAGCUCCUGCCCCUCCCCACUGCAGGAGGGCCAGCAUGGGGUGGCACAGGGAUACGGGGAGGCUUGCCCUGCCGUGCCCCUGCUCGAGAACCUGCCAGGGCUCCCUCCUGGCAGUGCUGUCUGAUGCCCAGGCUGGAGUCGUCCCCUGGCAGACUCUCCCCCCAGUGCAUGCAAAUCCUGCUCCUCUCUCCGGGGCCAUGUCCCAUCUGUGGAAGGAAGGCCCUCGCACCCUCUGCUCUUGCUUUCCUCAUUCAUUCGUUUAUUCCCUUAACAGCUACCACGUCCUAAGCCAGAUGGAUGCUAGGAUGCUGAGAACAAAGGACGCAGGCCUUGCCCUCAAGUGGCCCGCAGCCCAGUGAGAGGUAUCCUGAGUGGCUGGUGUCAAGGGCUGCUCUGAAGUGAGCUAGGUGCAGAGGGGACAGGGGGAAAAGGGUGUGUCUUGGCAGAAUGUUGCAGGGUAUCAUGGAAAGCUUCCUGGAGGAGAAGGCGAGCUAAACUCCUGGAAGAUACACAGAUUCCUCCAAGCGCAGAAGGGGAGCCUCCAGGCGCUUCCAGCACUGCCCCCUGCUGGCUGUCCACACACCUGUGGCUCUCACAGUCAGACCUGGGAGAUACGGGUUCCAAUCCUGACUCUUCUAUUUACCCUCAAGUUAGUCUACUUCCUGGACCUGUUUCCUUAUCUGUAAAAUGGGGAUCAGGGUCCCGCCGUGCAGAGCUCCUUGUGAUCCAUCCUUGGCCCUCUGUCCUCGGCGGGAGACAAAGCCCCCUACCCCAGCACCCAGAACUGGCUGGUUAAACCUAAUAGGUGCCCGGUAGAUACUGACUGGUAGAUGGACCAACGACUUGGCGUUUUCUUACUGAGCUUCCUUCCCCGGGAGCAACAAACCCCAACAGGGAGCACUAGCUUCCACUCACCCAGGACUCUGGAAAUGUACUCCCACCCCGGAUCACCGCUGCCUGCACACCUGACCAGAUGCGUGACGGCACAAGCUGUGUCCUGCCCUUGCCCGGGGCCCCACAGGAGCAUGACAAAUACUUUGUGGAGUUAAGUGCUCCAGUAACGAAGCUCCUCCCAGGGACCCAGGACUGGAGAGACAGGUCCUCAGACCCCUCCAUCAUCCCCGUCAAGCCAACUCAAGACUUUUUGCUGAUGCCAGCCCUUCAAGUGCCUGAAUGUGGGACCUUCCUUCAUCCUGCCAUCCUGGACUUCAAACUCAGUAGGAAGAUCCCCUCUGAACUCUGCCACCGUGAAGACCUGCUUUCCCUGACACCAGCCAUCCGGUCAGCAGCUGGGAAGCCAAACCCAAGGUGUCCUCCCCCCCAAAAAAAAACACGGGUGUCUCCUAUCCUCUGCAGGACUGCCAGGGGAAGAGAAAUGAGAUGAGUCUGUGGCACAGAGGACAGAAACAGGCCCACUGUGGACAAAAUAAAGGA
Molecule: long non-coding RNA, 1896 nt
Organism: Capra hircus (goat)
Lineage: Eukaryota; Metazoa; Chordata; Mammalia; Artiodactyla; Bovidae
Exons: 3
Source: RefSeq, a predicted model, not a curated record